AAAAACUCAAAGGAAUACUAAGGCGCCCGUACCGGAAACCGACACAGGUGGGUGGGCAUGAAUGUGCCAAGGCGCGUGAGUGAAACCUCGUUAAGGAACUCGCAAUCUAGCCCCGUAACUUCGGAAGAAGGGGUGCCCACUUUUAGUGGGUCGCAGUGAAAUGGGUGUACCGACUGUUUAUCAAAAACACAGCACUCUGCUAAGUCGUAAGACAACGUAUAGGGUGUGACACGUGACCAAUGCGGAAAGAUUACGGUAAGUGGUUAGCGCAAGCGAAGCUACGAGCCCAAGUCCCCGUGAAUGUCGGCCGUAACUAUAACGGUCCUAAGGUAGCGAAAUUCCUUGUCGGGUAAGUUCCGACCUGCACGAAUCGUGUAACGAGUGCACCGCUGUCUCAACGAGGAGCUCAGCGAAGUUGUAAUGGCGGUGAAGAUGCCGCCUACCCGCAGCAGGACGGAAAGACCCUAUGCACCUUUACUGUACGCUGUUACUGUGUUUUCGAUUUUCAUGCUUAGCGUAAGUGGGAGACUUUGAAGCCAUUCUUUCGGGGAUGGCCGAGUCGUCAAUGAAACACCACCCUUGGAAAUUGGAAACUCUAACCCUCGCCCAUCAACUGGGGAGGGGACACUGGCAGCCGGUCAGUUUUACUGGGGCGGUAUCCUCCCAAAGAGUAACGGAGGAGUACGAAGUUUGGCUCAACCUGGUUGGCAAUCAGGUGACGAGUACAUGGAUAUAAGCCAGACUAACUGUGAGACCUACAAGUCGAGCAGAUGCGAAAGCAGGUCCAAGUGAUCCGGUGGUUGAAAGUGGAAUCGCCAUCGCUCAACGGACAAAAGGUACGCUAGGGAUAACAGGCUGAUCGAGUCCAAGAGCUCAUAUCGACGACUCGGUUUGGCACCUCGAUGUCGGCUCAUCACAUCCUGGGGCUGGAGAAGGUCCCAAGGGUCCGGCUGUUCGCCGGUUAAAGUGGUACGCGAGCUGGGUUCAGAACGUCGCGAGACAGUUCGGUCCUUAUCCGCUGUGGGCGCAGGAAAGUUGAGGGGUUUAAACCUUAGUACGAGAGGACCGGGUUUAACGAACCUCUGGUGUUCCAGUUGUCGUGUCAACGGCAGUGCUGGGCAGCUACGUUCGGAAGAGAUAAGCGCUGAAAGCAUCUAAGCGCCAAGCUCCUCCCAAGAUUGACUUUCCCUGAAGAGUCGUGGUAGACCACCACGUUGAUAGGCCAUAGGUAUAAGCGCAGUAAUGCGUUGAGCUUAGUGGUACUAAUAACUCGUCCGGCUUGAUCC
RNAcentral lists this ribosomal RNA (1286 nucleotides) under metagenome. RNAcentral's name for it is "bacterial LSU rRNA". It matches the Rfam family "Bacterial large subunit ribosomal RNA", at positions 1614 to 2925 of the family's 2925-position model. The record is from RNAcentral.